This is a non-coding RNA of Morchella snyderi, 91 nucleotides long. The record is from the annotation of a GenBank genome assembly. Lineage: Eukaryota; Fungi; Ascomycota; Pezizomycetes; Pezizales; Morchellaceae.
GCGCUAAUAGCUCAGUUGGGAGAGCGUCAGACUGAAGUUAACAUUAUGUCAAAUAAUCUGAAGGUCACCCGUUCGAUCCGGGUUUGGCGCA